This 750-nucleotide ribosomal RNA is filed under the name uncultured bacterium. RNAcentral describes it as "bacterial SSU rRNA". It matches the Rfam family "Bacterial small subunit ribosomal RNA", at positions 44 to 792 of the family's 1533-position model. The record is from RNAcentral.
GGGCAAGUCUAACAUGCAGUUCCGAGCGAGCAUUUAAAGGAAGUUUUCGGAUGGAAUGUUAAUUGACUGAGCGGCGGACGGGUGAGUAACGCGUGGGUAACCUGCCUCAUACAGGGGGAUAACAGUUAGAAAUGACUGCUAAUACCGCAUAAGCACACAGAACCGCAUGGUUCGGGGUGAAAAGCCGAGACGGUAUGAGAUGGACCCGCGUCUGAUUAGCUAGUUGGAGGGGUAACGGCCCACCAAGGCAACGAUCAGUAGCCGACCUGAGAGGGUGACCGGCCACAUUGGGACUGAGACACGGCCCAAACUCCUACGGGAGGCAGCAGUGGGGGAUAUUGCACAAUGGGGGAAACCCUGAUGCAGCGACGCCGCGUGAGUGAAGAAGUAUUUCGGUAUGUAAAGCUCUAUCAGCAGGGAAGAAAAAAGACGGUACCUGGCUAAGAAGCCCCGGCUAACUACGUGCCAGCAGCCGCGGUAAUACGUAGGGGGCAAGCGUUAUCCGGAUUUACUGGGUGUAAAGGGAGCGUAGACGGCAAUACAAGUCGGAAGUGAAAUACCCGGGCUCAACCUGGGAACUGCUUUGGAAACUGUAUGGCUGGAGUGCUGGAGAGGUAAGCGGAAUUCCUAGUGUAGCGGUGAAAUGCGUAGAUAUUANGAGGAACACCAGUGGCGAAGGCGGCUUACUGGACAGUAACUGACGUUGAGGCUCGAAAGCGUGGGGAGCAAACAGGAUUAGAUACCCUGGUA